Molecule: ribosomal RNA, 253 nt
Filed under: uncultured bacterium
Lineage: Bacteria
Description: partial 16S ribosomal RNA
Rfam family: Bacterial small subunit ribosomal RNA
Source: RNAcentral
UACGGAGGGGGCUAGCGUUGUUCGGAAUUACUGGGCGUAAAGCGCACGUAGGCGGUUUUGUAAGUUAGAGGUGAAAGCCCGAAGCUCAACUUCGGAAUUGCCUUUAAGACUGCAUGACUUGAACGACGGAGAGGUGAGUGGAAUUCCGAGUGUAGAGGUGAAAUUCGUAGAUAUUCGGAAGAACACCAGUGGCGAAGGCGGCUCACUGGACGACUGUUGACGCUGAGGUGCGAAAGCGUGGGGAGCAAACAGG